GACGAGCCACACGAACGUUAUUCGGAAUUACUGGGCGUAAAGCGUGCGUAGACGGUUAUUUAAGUCGGGUGUGAAAGCCCCGGGCUCAACCUGGGAAUUGCAUUCGAGACUGAAUAGCUAGGGUACGGUAGAGGGAAGUGGAAUUUCCGGUGUAGCGGUGAAAUGCGUAGAUAUCGGAAGGAACAUCAGUGGCGAAAGCGACUUCCUGGACCAGUACCGACGUUCAGGCACGAAAGCGUGGGGAGCAAACAGG
Molecule: ribosomal RNA, 253 nt
Filed under: uncultured bacterium
Lineage: Bacteria
Description: partial 16S ribosomal RNA
Rfam family: Bacterial small subunit ribosomal RNA
Source: RNAcentral